UGUUUACAACUUUCCUCUGAUUCAAUCUUCAAAUUUGAUGUAGAUGAAUAGGUUGUUGAUUUCGGAUGAACGAUUGGAUGACUGCUUCAAGUUUUGAACUUGAAACAAUGCUUGGAUGUUUUCACCUCAAAGUUGCGGCAAAGAUGGUGUAGAUGUGAGAUUUUGAUUAAACGAUUGCUUCAAGUUUUGAGCUUGCAACAAAGUCUUGAAAGAAUCGGCAUAAGUGCUUGUUCAUUCUUCAAGGGAGUGCUUCGACUUUGGUCGAAAGAAAGCUUUGGCUUCGGUUAUAAGUUCUUCAAAAAGAGCUUUGGCAACGUAUUAGUCUUCAAAGAUUUAUGUAGAGGUUCUUCUGAAUGUAGGAUUUUUGGCCUUUCAAUGUAAAAAUUGUUGACCUUUAUGCUUGUCUUGGGACCUUGUAUUUAUAACUUCUCAAAGCUUGCCUUUGGAUGGAUUUGGCUUUGAUUUGAGUCUUGAUUCGUCCAUGGGAGAAUUUAGGCAUGUUUUGUGUCUUAAUUUCAGCCACCUACCUCAUAUUGGUCGAAAUUUAUAGACCUUGUUGCCUAUUUUUUAGCAAUCUUCAAUUCUUGCUUGUUUUGUGAAGAUGCUCUAGCUUUCUUUUCAGUUUUGGGAGCAAUUUGGGCCCCUCGCCAAUUUUAAGGAGAGAUUCCCCCUUUUGCCGAAUUUUAGAAAGGUUUUUAGCGUCCUUUGCUUGAUUUGUGCCACAUGUUAUUGAUGACUUAUCCAUUUGUGAUGAGUUAUAUGCCACAUGGAGCUUUGUGAUGCAUCACUUGUAUGUAACGAAAUUUACAUGUCUACAGAAGCAUCCUCCACCUCACAUCAAAGUAGACAGCAUGAUGGACGGAGAGACGUAGUGACUCAAUCCGGCUCAAGUUCAACCGGCAACCUAUAAGUAAUCCACUCG
This 922-nucleotide long non-coding RNA is filed under the name Malus domestica (apple). RNAcentral's name for it is "long non-coding RNA (MDOM_LNC000375)". The record is from RNAcentral. Lineage: Eukaryota; Viridiplantae; Streptophyta; Magnoliopsida; Rosales; Rosaceae.